GGGGAUUUAGCUCAGUGGUAGAGCGCUUGCCUAGCAAGCUCAAGGCCCUGGGUUCAUUCCCCAGCUCCG
Rattus norvegicus (Norway rat) is the source of this 69-nucleotide non-coding RNA. The record is from Rfam. NCBI's taxonomy places the organism in Eukaryota, Metazoa, Chordata, Mammalia, Rodentia, Muridae.